Molecule: long non-coding RNA, 752 nt
Filed under: Panax ginseng (ginseng)
Lineage: Eukaryota; Viridiplantae; Streptophyta; Magnoliopsida; Apiales; Araliaceae
Description: long non-coding RNA (PGIN_LNC013491)
Source: RNAcentral
UAUUUUUUUUUUUCAGUAUUCAUAAGGAAUAGUAUUUUAUUCCAUACUCUGUAGUAUAUGAGUAAUAUUAUUUCGUCUCGUAUUCCUGAUUAUACCCUCAUCUUGUUAAAGUAUUGCUUCUAUACUUCGUUAAAUUAGUAGAAUAUCCUUAAAAUCUGCGUUUCAUCUAGUAUCGUUUCACAAGGAUAUUUUCUGUACAUUCUUGUUAAAUUUUAAUCUUUUCAUGCCAGGGUAUUGUCCAUGAGUACUAUUCAUUUAUACGGUACUAUUCACAAAAGUACUAUUCAUGGGUACUAUUCAUAAAGUACUAUUCACGAAGUACUAUUCACGGGAUACAAUUCCCGAAGAUUGGGUACUAUUCACCUGGGGACUAUUCACCCGGAGUACUAUUCAUGACAAAAAUUAAUUUAUUUUUGGUCCAAAUCAUUUUUGGUACAAUAUCAUUCUUGAAUUUUACUCCACAAAGCAGUAUCAUGUUGACAAUUUGAACAUUAUUGAAUUAUGGAUAAAUUAAAUUAUAAAUCUUUAAAAAUUUAUCCUUUAUUUCUUUUAAUUGAAUUCUUAUAUCAUUGUCAUCAUCCUCAUGCUUAUAUUAUGAUGAAAGUCAUCUUUGGCUUACGUGCAUAAAUGAAUUGUUGAUUGGUAUGAUUAUGACCAAGGAUUAUUCAGUAUAAUCAUGACCCGUAAUGUUACAAAUAAUGUGGUAAAAGUCCUCAUUGGCCUGUAGUUUAUUGAUGGACAGUUGUUGGUAU